RNAcentral lists this ribosomal RNA (527 nucleotides) under uncultured bacterium. RNAcentral describes it as "bacterial SSU rRNA". It matches the Rfam family "Bacterial small subunit ribosomal RNA", at positions 18 to 518 of the family's 1533-position model. The record is from RNAcentral.
CCUGGCUUAGGACGAACGCUGGCGGCGUGCCUAAUACAUGCAAGUCGAACGGUCUUUCUAUGGAAGCUUGCUUCCACUGAGAAGAUAGUGGCGAACGGGUGAGUAACACGUGGGUAACCUGCCCAUAAGAGGGGGAUAACAUCCGGAAACGGGUGCUAAUACCGCAUAGUUUUCUUGAUCGCAUGAUCGGGAAAGGAAAGACGGCCUUUGUGCUGUCGCUUAUGGAUGGACCCGCGGCGUAUUAGUUAGUUGGUGAGGUAACGGCUCACCAAGACGAUGAUACGUAGCCGACCUGAGAGGGUGAUCGGCCACAUUGGGACUGAGACACGGCCCAAACUCCUACGGGAGGCAGCAGUAGGGAAUCUUCCGCAAUGGACGAAAGUCUGACGGAGCAACGCCGCGUGAGUGAAGAAAGGUUUUCGGAUCGUAAAACUCUGUUGUCAGAGAAGAACAAGUUGGAGAGUAACUGCUCCAGCCUUGACGGUAUCUGACCAGAAAGCCACGGCUAACUACGUGCCAGCAGCGGC